RNAcentral lists this small RNA (29 nucleotides) under Bombyx mori (domestic silkworm). Its description in RNAcentral is "ovarian small RNA-25953". The record is from RNAcentral. Lineage: Eukaryota; Metazoa; Arthropoda; Insecta; Lepidoptera; Bombycidae.
UCAUAGUCCACAAACGCUAAGCAUAAUGG